Molecule: long non-coding RNA, 2698 nt
Filed under: Medicago truncatula (barrel medic)
Lineage: Eukaryota; Viridiplantae; Streptophyta; Magnoliopsida; Fabales; Fabaceae
Description: long non-coding RNA (MTRU_LNC006028)
Source: RNAcentral
UCAGGAACAAAUUUCACAAUUCAUCAAUGAAACAAUCCAGACAUGAAACAAUAGAGACUGAAAUUAAUCAAAACAACUAACAAAAUCACGAAACCUUUAUAAAAUGUGCAUGCAUUCAAAGUAGCUAUUAAAAACAAAAGCAAAAAUGGACAAUACACCAUUUGUUGUCUCUGGCAACACUUUUUUAGGAGACAUGUUAAAAUUGUCCCCUAAAAGUCUCUAAGGCAUCGAUUUAUGAGUGUUGCCAAAAUUAUUUUCGCAACCACUGAAAAACAUCUCCUAAAAUAUUUUAGGGGACGAUUUUGGAGCGUUGCACUAUUAUUUCUUGGGUGACAACCAUUAAUCGUCCCCUUAGAUACUUUUGGGGACGAUUUUGGAGCGUUACACUAUUAUAUCUUUGGUGACAACCAUUAAUUGUCCCCUUAAAUACUUUUGGGGACAAUUUUAGAUUGUUGCAUAAAAAUUUCACCAACAUCAAAUUUUUUGGGGGAAUAUUCUCUCCAAGCUUGUUUACAAAAAAAAAAAUCUAAAAUUGGCUUAGCUAGGAGUUGAACAUGCAACCUCUUAUGGAGAGAAGACAUCCUUUUUAUUUGGGGAAUUAGUCACUUUAGUCCCUGAAUGGGAAAUGAGUAGUCACUUUAGUCCCUGAAUGCAGAGAAAUUGCAAAACAGUCCCUGGAUGUAGACUCUGUUGGUCAAUUUCAGGGACUAAAGUGACGAACGCAGUCUACAUUUAGGGACUAAUUUAAUUAACAGAGUCUACAUUCAGGGAUUAUUUUGCAAUUUAUCUGCAUUCAAGGACUAAAGUGACGACUUCUUUCCUAUUUAGAGACUAAAGUGACUAAUUCCCCAUUUUUAUUUUUAUUUGUUGUGAUUUAGUGAUCCAGAUUAAUGUAAUUCAACCUAGUUUAAUAAAAGUACACAUUUUUUAUAGAGACCGAGUUAUAAAUAUUAUUUAUCAAGUUUAAUCUAGUUCAAUCAUGUUGUUCAACCAAUGACCUAGUGGUUAAAUUAUUGACUCCGUGACGUAGUGACCUUACUGUGUCGACAACCGGUCCGAAUUUUAAAACCAUGUAUCUAACACAUAAUAAUAAUAAUAAUAAUAAUAAUAAUAAUAAUAUAAGAGUAUAUUUUACGGGUAGAAUUAAUAAAAUUUGGUAAUUUUUUUUUAAUAAAAGUCAGCCCAAAAAGUGCUGAAAUGAGUUAUUUUCUUUAGGGGAGUUCUACGGUACAUCUCAUAAAUUGAGGUGUACCGGUACUCCUACUUCAAAAAUUUAUAACUUAACGGUUAUUUUAUGAGAUAAAGAGUUAUUUAUCGAUAUUUAUAUUUUAGAAAUUAGAAUUUAUGGCUUUUUAUUAGUCUAUAUUAGUGCUUCGUAAAUUUGUUUGGGAACUGAAAAGUUUUUCGUUUGAUUUAUCUUCUCGGAAAGCCAAAUAUUAAUCGAGUAGAGAUGGAAUGGUGUUCCCUAUCAAAGGAAGCGCAUUCAUGUAUUAAUUUUCCUUAAUUAAUUAACGUAAUGGCAAGGAAUUUGAGGAGAGAGAAGCUUGAAGUUUCACCGGAGACUAUAGAGAAAACGGAAGUUAUAAUGAGAGAGAAUUGAGAUUACUAAUUUGAGGUUCUCACAAUCAGAGAUUUGAGGACUUGAAUCAAUUUGAGAUCGAUUGAAAAUUGUCGAUUAAUCAUCAAAUGUUGCUCCAAGUAUACAAUCAUCAAAUGCUUAACAUAGUAAAUCAAUUGUACAAUCACAUUCUAGUGCAUCUUUUGAGAAUUUUUGUCAUCUACUCCAUCCGUCUUAAAAUAUAUAAGCAAAAAAAUCUCAUAUUUUUUAUCUCAAAAUAUAAGCAAAAAAAAACCAACUUUUAUGCCAUUAUUAUAUUUUUUCAAACAAAUCAUUUUUUCAAUGUAAAAUUCAAUGCAAAUUGCAUUCAAUUUGUUUUCCUUUUUAUUUUCUCCAUAAUUUUUAACCAAUGAUCUUUUCAUGAAACUUAUUUCAAAGAUAACACAAAAAAUUAUACUUCAAAUUACUAAAUGUUAGUUUUCUUAAUAAGUGAGAAUUAAUAUUUUUUUUCUUAUAAAUUAGAACGGAGGGAGUAUGUCAUCGACAAAACAUAACAAAUAAACCAGAACACAAACUACCUCUCCAGAGGCAGAGGAACAGCAGCGGGGACGACCGCGACUAAUCCAAUCAGGCACCAUAAUCAGUCCAUACACUUUCUAGUGGUUAAUCAGUCCUAAUAUUAAGGUUAUUAUCAACAAGAUCAUGCAUCACCAUCGCAUGAAAUAGCCACAAGACUGAGAAAUCAAUAAUGAAAUAUCUAUCCAAUCAUACAUUAUAUUUUAGAAAUCACCAAUAACAAGCAACCAAAUCACACAAACUUUCUAUGAAAUUCAAAUUCAGCACAACAUAACCAAAAACCCUAUAUAUUACCUCCUCCAAUACCAUGUCAAUACACCAGAAGCAAAAUAUUGACACCAUUUCAAUACACCAAUAACAUAACCAAAACCUUGUAUAUUGCAGCUUCACUGGGGCGUGAUGGUUGAUGCUAUUCCUUGAUCAUGAUUUUAAUUUCUUGUUGUCCUUUACGAUGUCCUUUCUUUGAUGGUUUAUUGGUGACAUCAUCCUGUUGUUCUAUUUCAACAUCGAGUGUGAUUUCUUUGAUUAAAAAUGUUACAUAUUCUAAAUGGAUUAGAUUCAAGU